AUGGAUGAUCGCCAACUUUCUGAGCCCGAGCUGCGGCUACGUAAGUGCCUGAAAAGGAAGCUGCUGGGCUUGUGCUCUCUUGAGCGCUCUAUUGCUCGGCAGAGGUCGAGGUUGCUGCAGCUGCGGGAGGGGGAUGGCAAUACCAGGUUGUUCCACCAACAAGCAAGUCAUCGCCAGAGAAAGAACACCAUCAGGUUGAUCCGGCACAAUGGGAACAUCUUCUCAGGCCAGGACAGUGUGGCG
Molecule: ribosomal RNA, 243 nt
Filed under: Triticum aestivum (bread wheat)
Lineage: Eukaryota; Viridiplantae; Streptophyta; Magnoliopsida; Poales; Poaceae
Description: partial small subunit ribosomal RNA
Source: RNAcentral